Molecule: ribosomal RNA, 758 nt
Filed under: uncultured bacterium
Lineage: Bacteria
Description: bacterial SSU rRNA
Rfam family: Bacterial small subunit ribosomal RNA
Source: RNAcentral
AGAGUUUGAUCAUGGCUCAGAACGAACGCUGGCGGCAGGCUUAACACAUGCAAGUCGAACGGGCGUGAGCGAUCACGUCAGUGGCGGACGGGUGAGUAACGCGUGGGAACAUACCCUUUGGUUCGGAAUAACUCAGGGAAACUUGAGCUAAUACCGGAUACGCCCUUGGACGGAAGUCCUGGGGGAAAGAUUGAUUGCCGGAGGAUUGGCCCGCGUCCGAUUAGCUAGUUGGUGGGGUAACGGCCCACCAAGGCGACGAUCGGUAGCUGGUCUGAGAGGAUGAUCAGCCACAUUGGGACUGAGACACGGCCCAAACUCCUACGGGAGGCAGCAGUGGGGAAUAUUGGACAAUGGGCGCAAGCCUGAUCCAGCCAUGCCGCGUGAGUGAUGACGGCCUUAGGGUUGUAAAGCUCUUUCGCCAGGGACGAUAAUGACGGUACCUGGAUAAGAAGCCCCGGCUAACUUCGUGCCAGCAGCCGCGGUAAUACGAAGGGGGCUAGCGUUGUUCGGAAUUACUGGGCGUAAAGCGCGUGUAGGCGGGUCUUUAAGUCAGGGGUGAAAUGCCAAGGCUCAACCUUGGAACUGCCUUUGAUACUGGAGAUCUUGAGUCCGGGAGAGGUGAGUGGAACUGCGAGUGUAGAGGUGAAAUUCGUAGAUAUUCGCAAGAACACCAGUGGCGAAGGCGGCUCACUGGCCCGGAACUGACGCUGAGACGCGAAAGCGUGGGGAGCAAACAGGAUUAGAUACCCUAGUAGUCC